Molecule: ribosomal RNA, 253 nt
Filed under: uncultured bacterium
Lineage: Bacteria
Description: partial 16S ribosomal RNA
Rfam family: Bacterial small subunit ribosomal RNA
Source: RNAcentral
GACGUAGGGUGCAAGCGUUGUCCGGAUUUAUUGGGCGUAAAGAGCUCGUAGGCGGCUUGUUGCGUCGACUGUGAAAACCCGCGGCUUAACCGCGGGCUUGCAGUUGAUACGGGCAGGCUAGAGUUCGGUAGGGGAGACUGGAAUUCCCGGUGUAGCGGUGAAAUGCGCAGAUAUCGGGAGGAACACCGGUGGCGAAGGCGGUUCUCUGGGCCUUACCUGACGCUGAGGAGCGAAAGCGUGGGGAGCGAACAGG